UUUAAAUGAAAACAACUCUCUCGGCUUCUAGCUUCAGAAUUUGAGUAAAAAAGAACUUGGCAGUAAAAGUGAAAAGACUUCGUAUACGCUCUCUCGCUUGCAGCCAAAAAAUGGAUGGGCAGGAUGGCAGGGUCAGACAAUUCCCUGGUACGGCAGGAUCUGGUAUCCUGGUAUCCUGGUGUUUUGCGGCAACCUCAGACUCAUGAGCUAUAUGCUGUCACUGCUAAUGUUAGUGGGUUUGCCCUCCGGCAUUUCAAUUAAGAAAUAUUGUUUAAACAUAUGCUGAUGCUGAUGCUACAGAUACUGAUGAUGAUGCAACUUUAGUGCUAAGCUGAUUAGAACUGCAAGUGGAUUCACUCUGGGAGCCACAGCUGCGGAACUUAUUGCUCAUCCGCCCUGCGGUUCGGUCAACCGCUCACAGACUUCAAUGUUAAUUAACUUGUUUUUAAUCCAAUUAAUAUGCACAGCACAAGACCAUUGAGUCUUGGACUCUAAUUAAAACUUUUGAUCCAUCCCAGAGAAUUUCAUUGCUAAGAACCGUAGGGCCAGAAACACACAUAACUACCUUUCUUACUCCCCUCACAUAUUAUAAAAGUCUUGCGGCUAAAAAAAGUUAUCGUGUUGUAUUUUGUCUAUUAUUAUGCUAAAAAGGAUGGACUUAA
This is a long non-coding RNA of Drosophila santomea, 662 nucleotides long. RefSeq lists it as uncharacterized. The record is from RefSeq and is a predicted model, not a curated record. The transcript is spliced from 3 exons. NCBI's taxonomy places the organism in Eukaryota, Metazoa, Arthropoda, Insecta, Diptera, Drosophilidae.